CAAGAGGUAGUUUAUUUUAAAAUAUUAAUUUUGGGGAUUAAUGAAAAAGAAAAAUCUUUUCUCUUGA
Molecule: transfer RNA, 67 nt
Filed under: Drosophila guttifera
Lineage: Eukaryota; Metazoa; Arthropoda; Insecta; Diptera; Drosophilidae
Description: tRNA-Pro
Source: RNAcentral